Molecule: ribosomal RNA, 497 nt
Filed under: uncultured bacterium
Lineage: Bacteria
Description: partial 16S ribosomal RNA
Rfam family: Bacterial small subunit ribosomal RNA
Source: RNAcentral
GAUGAACGCUGGCGGCGUGCCUAAUACAUGCAAGUCGAGCGAACAGACGAGGAGCUUGCUCCUCUGACGUUAGCGGCGGACGGGUGAGUAACACGUGGAUAACCUACCUAUAAGACUGGGAUAACUUCGGGAAACCGGAGCUAAUACCGGAUAAUAUAUUGAACCGCAUGGUUCAAUAGUGAAAGACGGUUUUGCUGUCACUUAUAGAUGGAUCCGCGCCGCAUUAGCUAGUUGGUAAGGUAACGGCUCACCAAGGCGACGAUGCGUAGCCGACCUGAGAGGGUGAUCGGCCAAACCGGAACUGAGACACGGUCCAGACUCCUACGGGAGGCAGCAGUAGGGAAUCUUCCGCAAUGGGCGAAAGCCUGACGGAGCAACGCCGCGUGAGUGAUGAAGGUCUUCGGAUCGUAAAACUCUGUUAUUAGGGAAGAACAAAUGUGUAAGUAACUAUGCACGUCUUGACGGUACCUAAUCAGAAAGCCACGGCUAACUACGUG